GUCGAACGGAUUAUUCUUUAUAGCUUGCUAUAAAGAUAAUUAGUGGCAGACGGGUGAGUAAUGCAUAGGAAUCUACCUAGUAGUAUAGGAUAGCCACUAGAAAUGGUGGGUAAUACUGUAUAAUCCCUGCGGGGGAAAGAUUUAUCGCUACAUGAUGAGCCUAUGUUAGAUUAGCUAGUUGGUAGGGUAAAGGCCUACCAAGGCGAUGAUCUAUAGCUGGUCUGAGAGGAUGAUCAGCCACACUGGAACUGAGAUACGGUCCAGACUCCUACGGGAGGCAGCAGUGGGGAAUAUUGGACAAUGGGCGCAAGCCUGAUCCAGCUAUGCCGCGUGAGUGAGGAAGGCCUUAGGGUUGUAAAACUCUUUCAGUAGGGAAGAUAAUGACGGUACCUACAGAAGAAGUCCCGGCAAACUCCGUGCCAGCAGCCGCGGUAAUACGGAGGGGGCAAGCGUUGUUCGGAAUUAUUGGGCGUAAAGGGCAUGUAGGCGGUUCGGUAAGUUAAAGGUGAAAUGCCAGGGCUUAACCCUGGAGCUGCUUUUAAUACUGCCAGACUUGAGUCCGGAAGAGGAUAGCGGAAUUCCUAGUGUAGAGGUGAAAUUCGUAGAUAUUAGGAGGAACACCAGUGGCGAAGGCGGCUAUCUGGUCCGGUACUGACGCUGAGGUGCGAAAGCGUGGGGAGCAAACAGGAUUAGAUACCCCGGUAGUCCACGCCGUAAACGAUGAGUGCUGAAUGUGGGGAUAAUUUAUCUCCGUGUUGUAGCUAACGCGUUAAGCACUCCGCCUGGGGACUACGGUCGCAAGACUAAAACUCAAAGGAAUUGACGGGGACCCGCACAAGCGGUGGAGCAUGUGGUUUAAUUCGAUGCAACGCGAAAAACCUUACCACUCCUUGACAUGGAGAUUAGAUCCUUCUUAACGGAAGGG
This 925-nucleotide ribosomal RNA is filed under the name Anaplasma phagocytophilum. Its description in RNAcentral is "bacterial SSU rRNA". It matches the Rfam family "Bacterial small subunit ribosomal RNA", at positions 61 to 1013 of the family's 1533-position model. Lineage: Bacteria; Pseudomonadati; Pseudomonadota; Alphaproteobacteria; Rickettsiales; Anaplasmataceae. The record is from RNAcentral.